AGCAUUUGACAAGCUUGAGUGGUCAGUUUUUAAUCAAGUAAACAUUUUUAAAAUGUUUCAAGGAUACAGAAGUGGAAAAUGAGUUUUAAAAAGCAGUGGCCUUGACAAGUUUUCCGAAGAAGUUUAUUUCCGAUUGAAGGAGAUAUCUCCUUAGUGUGAUUCAUCCCAACUGUGCUACACCUUAUCUUAAAAGAGUGUGAAUUUCUUCUGUCAUUUCUCUGCCCUUUGAAAUAGAGAAACAUCUGCAGAAACUGCAGCAGGUACAUCCUCCAGGGAAAGAAGAGUGAAAAUUCAUGACAAGACUGAAAUUGCAAUUAACCGGAUGAUUGGUUCCCACAAAGAACGAAGAUAAAAGAGGAAUAUCAGGCCAAUUACCUGGUGUUGAGUCUACA
Molecule: long non-coding RNA, 392 nt
Filed under: Zonotrichia albicollis (white-throated sparrow)
Lineage: Eukaryota; Metazoa; Chordata; Aves; Passeriformes; Passerellidae
Description: lncRNA (ENSZALG00000011875.1)
Source: RNAcentral